This 75-nucleotide transfer RNA is filed under the name Thermoplasmata archaeon. Its description in RNAcentral is "tRNA-Val". It matches the Rfam family "tRNA". From Rfam's summary of the family: Transfer RNA (tRNA) molecules are approximately 80 nucleotides in length. Lineage: Archaea; Methanobacteriati; Thermoplasmatota; Thermoplasmata. The record is from RNAcentral. RNAcentral also lists the same sequence under 2 other names.
GGGCCGAUGGUCUAGACCGGUCAUGACGUCGCGCUUACAACGCGGAGGUCGGCGGUUCGAAUCCGCCUCGGCCCA